Cucurbita moschata (crookneck pumpkin) is the source of this 1361-nucleotide long non-coding RNA. RefSeq lists it as uncharacterized. NCBI's taxonomy places the organism in Eukaryota, Viridiplantae, Streptophyta, Magnoliopsida, Cucurbitales, Cucurbitaceae. The record is from RefSeq and is a predicted model, not a curated record. The transcript has 3 exons.
AAAAAAUGGUCAUUUCGGCCUUUGGAGAUGCCUUCCACUGUGCUGAUUCUUCUCCCCAUUGGAGGAGUGGCCAACCCUUCUGCAACUUUCUCCAGGUAAUUUCGCUUUCUUCUUCGUAUACCCAUUUCUGAUUCUAUCACUCCUAUCGGCGUCUAUUCUUGUUUUUCCUCGAAUUUCUUUGUUAUAUUGGGCUCUUUGUCUUAGCUUCGUAUGUUAUCGGAGUCUGUGCUCCACAUAAUUUAGUUUGAUGGUUUGUUGCAAGCUACACGGGGAUCCAUUUUUGUGUGUGUGUGUGUGUGUUAUGAAUUGGUAUUUAGUUAUGUGUCACCUUAUUUGGCACCUUGGAUUUCAAAAUGAAAUCAACAAGGAUCGUCUCAAAAGGAGCAUGAUUAGGGGAGAUGGCUCUGAGUUAACCAGCUAACUGAAAACAGCCCAUUUUGGUGGAGACCUCAAACUGUAAUUGAUAAAGGGAGAGAUUGGGAAUGUUAAAACUCUAGUUUUUGAAGUUUCUUGUAAAAAAUAGUUAUAAGCCAAGAGCUCUAGAAAGGAACUGAAACAAUAGUCAAUAAAUUUGUUUAAUUCAUUCUCCAUCUUGAUUCUUGGGUAUUCUUCUAAAUCCUGAACCACUAUUUCAUCCUUGCUAAUUGCUCUGCAUCAUUCUUGAUGGUAACAAACUGUCUACUUCGUUGAUAUAUUAGAGAAAUCUCCCCUGCCCACCACUCGGAUUUGAAUAGAGUCAUCUUUCAGCAUACUUUGUUAUUACAAUGAAGUUCGAUUGUGGUUAUCUGGCUGGUUCUUUGGAUUCUAAGUGUAUUGACAGUUGAUAGUAUCGUUGUUUAGUUUCUUGUUUAUUCUAUGCAAGUUGUUUGAUGUUAUGAAUUUUAUUUAAUUUGGAGAAUCUGUGAUCGAAUGCUUAAUCUUACUUUUGGAUCCUUUUUCAUCAAGCUGCAAUGUAUUCCUCAUUGCCUUCAUGUAAUCGAAUAUAGCUGGACAGUAUGGUAUUACUAACCCGUUCAUUAUAUUUAACUUGAAUGGUGUUGUUCUUGUUCUUCCAAUGAAAGUCAUUUUCAAGAUGUUUAUGUGCUUUUGUUCGGGAACAAACAUGUAUCGUGUCAAUUGUUUAUGUAACAGCCUAAGCCCACCGCAAGCAGAUAUUCUUCUCUUUGAGCUUUCCCUUUUGGGCUUCCCCUCAAGGCUUUGAAACACGUUUGCUUGGGAGAGGUUUCUACACCCUUAUAAAAACAUGUUUCGUCCUCCCCCCCCUCGAUACCCAGUGUCUUUGCUGGGAUUUGUUCUCUUCUCCAAUCGAUGUGGGAUCCCCCAAUCCACCCCCCUUUGGGGACCAGUGUCUUUGUUGGCAC